RNAcentral lists this ribosomal RNA (1436 nucleotides) under uncultured bacterium. RNAcentral's name for it is "bacterial SSU rRNA". It matches the Rfam family "Bacterial small subunit ribosomal RNA". The record is from RNAcentral.
AGAGUUUGAUCCUGGCUCAGAACGUACGCUGGCGGCACGCCUAAUACAUGCAAGUCGAACGAAGUAGCAAUACUUAGUGGCAGACGGGUGAGUAACAUGUAGGUAUCUACCCUUUGGUCUGGAAUAACACGAGGAAACUUGUGCUAAUACCGGAUAAGUCUUUACGGAGAAAGCUUUAUGCACCAUUGGAUGAGCCUGCACUUGAUUAGUUUGUUGGUGGGGUAAUGGCCUACCAAGACAAUGAUCAAUAGCUGAUUUGAGAGGAUGAUCAGCCACAUUGGGACUGAGACACGGCCCAAACUCCUACGGGAGGCAGCAGUAGGGAAUCUUGCACAAUGGAGGAAACUCUGAUGCAGCGAUGCCGCGUGAGUGAAGAAGGCCUUUGGGUUGUAAAGCUCUUUCGUCGGGGAAGAAAAUGACUGUACCCGAAUAAGAAGGUCCGGCUAACUUCGUGCCAGCAGCCGCGGUAAUACGAAGGGACCUAGCGUAGUUCGGAAUUACUGGGCUUAAAGAGUUCGUAGGUGGUUAAAAAAGUUGGUGGUGAAAUCCCAGAGCUUAACUCUGGAACUGCCAUCAAAACUUUUUAGCUAGAGUAUGAUAGAGGAAAGCAGAAUUUCUAGUGUAGAGGUGAAAUUCGUAGAUAUUAGAAAGAAUACCGAUUGCGAAGGCAGCUUUCUGGAUCAUUACUGACACUGAGGAACGAAAGCAUGGGUAGCGAAGAGGAUUAGAUACCCUCGUAGUCCAUGCCGUAAACGAUGUGUGUUAGACGUUGGAAAUUUAUUUUCAGUGUCGCAGCGAAAGCGAUAAACACACCGCCUGGGGAGUACGACCGCAAGGUUAAAACUCAAAUGAAUUGACGGGGACCCGCACAAGUAGUGGAGCAUGUGGUUUAAUUCGAAGAUACGCGCAGAACCUUACCAACACUUGACAUGUUCGUCGCGACUCUAAGAGAUUAGAGUUUUCGGUUCGGCCGGACGAAACACAGGUGCUGCAUGGCUGUCGUCAGCUCGUGUCGUGAGAUGUUGGGUUAAGUCCCGCAACGAGCGCAACCCUUACUUUUAGUUGCCAUCAUUUAGUUGGGCACUCUGAAAGAACUGCCAGUGAUAAGCUGGAGGAAGGUGGGGAUGACGUCAAGUCCUCAUGGCCCUUAUGUGUUGGGCUACACACGUGCUACAAUGGUAUCUACAACAGGAAGCAAGAUGGCAACAUUAAGCAAAUCCCAAAAAGAUACCUCAGUUCGGAUUGCACUCUGCAACUCGAGUGCAUGAAGCUGGAAUUACUAGUAAUCGUGGAUCAGCGUGCCACGGUGAAUACGUUCCCGGGUCUUGUACACACCGCCCGUCACACCAUGGGAGUUGGUUCUACCUUAAGGCAAAGUUUAAAACCUUUGACCACGGUAUAGUCAGCGACUGGGGUGAAGUCGUAACAAGGUAACC